GACGAACGCUGGCGGCGUGCUUAACACAUGCAAGUCGAACGGAAAGGCCCUGCUUUUGUGGGGUGCUCGAGUGGCGAACGGGUGAGUAACACGUGAGUAACCUGCCCUUGACUUUGGGAUAACUUCAGGAAACUGGGGCUAAUACCGGAUAGGAGCUCCUGCUGCAUGGUGGGGGUUGGAAAGUUUCGGCGGUUGGGGAUGGACUCGCGGCUUAUCAGCUUGUUGGUGGGGUAGUGGCUUACCAAGGCUUUGACGGGUAGCCGGCCUGAGAGGGUGACCGGCCACAUUGGGACUGAGAUACGGCCCAGACUCCUACGGGAGGCAGCAGUGGGGAAUAUUGCACAAUGGGCGGAAGCCUGAUGCAGCAACGCCGCGUGCGGGAUGACGGCCUUCGGGUUGUAAACCGCUUUCGCCUGUGACGAAGCGUGAGUGACGGUAAUGGGUAAAGAAGCACCGGCUAACUACGUGCCAGCAGCCGCGGUGAUACGUAGGGUGCGAGCGUUGUCCGGAUUUAUUGGGCGUAAAGGGCUCGUAGGUGGUUGAUCGCGUCGGAAGUGUAAUCUUGGGGCUUAACCCUGAGCGUGCUUUCGAUACGGGUUGACUUGAGGAAGGUAGGGGAGAAUGGAAUUCCUGGUGGAGCGGUGGAAUGCGCAGAUAUCAGGAGGAACACCAGUGGCGAAGGCGGUUCUCUGGGCCUUUCCUGACGCUGAGGAGCGAAAGCGUGGGGAGCGAACAGGCUUAGAUACCCUGGUAGUCCACGCUGUAAACGGUGGGUACUAGGUGUGGGGUCCAUUCCACGGGUCCCGUGCCGUAGCUAACGCUUUAAGUACCCCGCCUGGGGAGUACGGCCGCAUGGCUAAAACUCAAAGGAAUUGACGGGGCCCCGCACAAGCGGCGGAGCAUGCGGAUUAAUUCGAUGCAACGCGUAGAACCUUACCUGGGUUUGACAUGGAUCGGGAGUGCUCAGAGAUGGGUGUGCCUCUUUUGGGGUCGGUUCACAGGUGGUGCAUGGCUGUCGUCAGCUCGUGUCGUGAGAUGUUGGGUUAAGUCCCGCAACGAGCGCAACCCUUGUUCACUGUUGCCAGCACGUUAUGGUGGGGACUCAGUGGAGACCGCCGGGGUCAACUCGGAGGAAGGUGGGGAUGACGUCAAGUCAUCAUGCCCCUUAUGUCCAGGGCUUCACGCAUGCUACAAUGGCUGGUACAGAGAGUGGCGAGCCUGUGAGGGUGAGCGAAUCUCGGAAAGCCGGUCUCAGUUCGGAUUGGGGUCUGCAACUCGACCUCAUGAAGUCGGAGUCGCUAGUAAUCGCAGAUCAGCAACGCUGCGGUGAAUACGUUCCCGGGGCU
Molecule: ribosomal RNA, 1346 nt
Filed under: uncultured bacterium
Lineage: Bacteria
Description: partial 16S ribosomal RNA
Rfam family: Bacterial small subunit ribosomal RNA
Source: RNAcentral